This 253-nucleotide ribosomal RNA is filed under the name uncultured bacterium. RNAcentral describes it as "partial 16S ribosomal RNA". It matches the Rfam family "Bacterial small subunit ribosomal RNA", at positions 524 to 776 of the family's 1533-position model. The record is from RNAcentral.
UACGAAGGGGGCUAGCGUUGUUCGGAAUUACUGGGCGUAAAGCGCACGUAGGCGGAUCGAUCAGUCAGGGGUGAAAUCCCAGGGCUCAACCCCGGAACUGCCUUUGAUACUGUCGAUCUGGAGUAUGGAAGAGGUGAGUGGAAUUCCGAGUGUAGAGGUGAAAUUCGUAGAUAUUCGGAGGAACACCAGUGGCGAAGGCGGCUCACUGGUCCAUUACUGACGCUGAGGUGCGAAAGCGUGGGGAGCAAACAGG